This is a long non-coding RNA of Pseudoliparis swirei, 930 nucleotides long. RefSeq lists it as uncharacterized. NCBI's taxonomy places the organism in Eukaryota, Metazoa, Chordata, Actinopteri, Perciformes, Liparidae. The record is from RefSeq and is a predicted model, not a curated record. The transcript has 3 exons.
AUAUCCAGACUGCGAGCUGCAUGUUUGAGGCGACGGUUCACCGCUCUGCAAAAAGUUUGCGAUGUGAAGGAACCACAUGGUGGAGCUUAAGGCACAUUUUUAAAGAAAACGCUGCUCUGACUACAGGAAGAAACACGUUCUAAUUCACUUUUAAAAACAAAAGAAGUGUAUUAACCAAUAGAUUAACACCGUAAAUCAACCUCUUUACCAUUGGCUCAAUUCAGAAUUGUCUGAAUACAAAACUGCAUAACAUAAUGUGACUCGACACAACGACAACACAAACAAAGCCUGUCAACAACACUGGGGACGAGAGUCACUCAAUGCAACAUAAUUACAACAGCUCAGAUCAUUUCAUCAUUUCCUGGCGCUGUUUGACGGUGUAAAAAGUCUAUUUAGUCUAAUUUGACAAACAGCUUUUGAGCUAACAGUAAAUAAAACUAAAGACCUGUUUCUUAAAGUCUGACAUGACAUUCGAAGGAGUCACCAACACGUUGAAUUCUCAUUUCAAUCGCCUUCCUGCUUUUAUUUAGUUGUUAAUAUUAAGUUUUCCUUACAUGUUCAGGGUUAAAACAUACAUUAUAUAUUGUAAUGUUGCAGAAUACAACUUUUAAAAAUGUAGAAGGCACAAUCAGAUUGUGUCUGCGUUAUAAAGGAACAUAUACACUUUUAUACAGCAAGAAGAAGAAGACCCAUCAUCUCCUGUUAAAGGCACCGUUGUAAAGAACAGAGUGAGAAGGAUUUCUCACUCAACCACCGGACUAAAACGUCCUUUGUGACACGUUGUCGUGGCACAAACAGACGCCGAACAACACGCAGCACAAAUCACAUGAGAGAGGAACAGAGCAGGACGAGGAGGAGGAAUGGAAACAGAGAAGUUGUCGUCACGGCUUGCACAAAACACAGAGAACACAACCGGAGCGCUGCGUCGUU